Nicotiana tabacum (common tobacco) is the source of this 1831-nucleotide non-coding RNA. The record is from RefSeq and is a predicted model, not a curated record. NCBI's taxonomy places the organism in Eukaryota, Viridiplantae, Streptophyta, Magnoliopsida, Solanales, Solanaceae.
GAUGCCUAUUUAUUUUUUAUUUUUCUUUUCGGUUUCUGUAUGUGAUUUUGGGCGAUGCUAGCUACAUUUGAAACUCUAAUGAUUCUUUUAGGGGUUUUCUUAAAAUAAUAAUUUUUUAUUUAUAUGAUGACGAGAAAUAAGGGAUACUUUUUGUUUUAUCAACUCGGUAGCAUGGGAUAGUAGAAUGAAUUUCUCUCGCCGAGGAUUGAACCUUCAGCUGGUCUUUAUAUAUGGUGAAUUCAAGACAUGUCUUUCACAUAAACAUCUAUCACUUAAGAAUAGUUUAUUGAUAUGCAUUUUCAUUUUAAUUUUUAACAUUAAGGUUAUAUUACUUGGUUUGCUGUAAACACCAGGUGCGUAUAAGUAUUUACCCCUGAUACAUCUGUAUUUAAUUUUAGUUUUUGUUUUUCUUUUCUUGUUUUUUUUUUGCUGAUCGUGACAAGUAGCAUGAAAAUUCUUGGGUUUCUAAGUUUCUUUUGUUAUCUUCUCUCUUGUUGCUCAUGUUUCUUUUUAGGAGGAAUUGUGUAUCUUGGUGUUCCUCUUAGAUAGCCAGUAUUUUCAACAUCCUUAAAACAAAGCAGAUAUGUCAUGAAUUGCUUUCCGUCGAGACGUUCUUCAAAAAGUUGUAACUAUGAUUUCCCAUAUCCUCUUUUGAUUCAGAUUGAUAACCGAGAAAUUCCCGAGGGUCACUGGCAUACAGUUUAAAACGUGGUGGAUAAUGGGCCUGCCCCGCGACCCGUCUCCACUUAAAUGCCAGACUUUUGUCCGGGUUCUAACUCGUGACGUGCGCCUCUAUGCUCCUUUUUGCCAACCAUUCUUUUGCGCCCUCCUUAAAUGUAUAGAAGUCGGAGUUCUUCCGAAUUUCUUACCUAGACUCUAAUAUAAUUAUACUCAAGUUAAGGAGAAGAGGUGGUUUCUUUCAUAAUGUACUUUUUCCUAUGAAACGGUAUCUAUGUUCGCACUUCGCACAAGGAUUCAUAUAUAUCAAAUUCAAUGCUAGCACUUGUAAUAUUUCGGUUUAUCAAAAUUCUGGGACGACAAUAAAAAUGUUGAAGACUUGAGGACGAAUUUCGGUAAUCUUGGAUAUGGAACGGGUUCAAGAUUAGUGUGAAGUAACUUAGGGAGGAUAUUGGUUUUUUUUCUUUUUUGGGUUUGUAUUUUUCAAUUUCAGUCGUUCCUAAGAAUUAUCAUUUCUCAUUGCAAUUCCCAUAUGAAGCUGGUUGAUGAAAGGAGCAUCUGUCUCUACACGCGAGCCAAUUCGGAAGUAUACCUUUUCACAGGUUUCUGUAUUAGCUUAGAUCAACUCAAAUCAUAUCAUAGUGGGUCGACUCUGGCAAUACUAUGCAAAUGAAGAAUCUACAGGAUUUACUCCAUUGUGUAGAAAGCAAGAUAUGCUUUGAAUGUGGCUUUUAUGGUCAGGAGAAGAGUUUUGCUCCUAUCGUUCUUGCCUUGAGGUCUACCAGAGCUUUCUGCCACCAGCUAGGAAACUGUUGACAUUCUUUAUGUUAGCCUUGGUGGCUCUGUCCUUCCAAAUGUCAGAUUUCUUCUCCAGAGUUAGUUCCUUUUCCCACAAGGUCUGCCUCUUAGAAAGGUCAAGAGAAAAAUAUUAAGUAAAUGAUGAAAGGUGACAUUGUAGUAUGUGGACACUAUUUUCACAAGGCCCGUGAUUGUAUAAUUCAAUUUGAAAAGGAAGGGAUAUUACCUAGAAAUAAAGUUAUUACUCUUUUAGUGCCGUUCAGUCACAUUUACAAAUGUUAACUGUAGUUCUGAACUUUUUCAGAACUGACAUACUUUGAGAUGCAUCAAUAGUUUUCUUAAAAUAGAUUUACCA